GGGCGGAUUCCCGAGAGGCCAAAGGGGGCAGACUGUAAAUCUGUUAGCUACGCUUUCGAAGGUUCGAAUCCUUCUCCGCCCA
RNAcentral lists this transfer RNA (82 nucleotides) under Eubacterium sp. RNAcentral's name for it is "tRNA-Tyr". It matches the Rfam family "tRNA". Rfam says of the family: Transfer RNA (tRNA) molecules are approximately 80 nucleotides in length. Their secondary structure includes four short double-helical elements and three loops (D, anti-codon, and T loops). Lineage: Bacteria; Bacillati; Bacillota; Clostridia; Eubacteriales; Eubacteriaceae. The record is from RNAcentral.